GAUGAACGCUGGCGGCGUGCCUAAUACAUGCAAGCCGAGCGAACGGACGAGAAGCUUGCUUUUCUGAUGUUAGCGGCGGGCGGGUGAGUAACACGUGGAUAACCUACCUAUAAGACUGGGAUAACUUCGGGAAACCGGAGCUAAUACCGGAUAAUAUUUUGAACCGCAUGGUUCAAAAGUGAAAGACGGUCUUGCUGUCACUUAUAGAUGGAUCCGCGCUGCAUUAGCUAGUUGGUAAGGUAACGGCUUACCAAGGCAACGAUGCAUAGCCGACCUGAGAGGGUGAUCGGCCACACUGGAACUGAGACACGGUCCAGACUCCUACGGGAGGCAGCAGUAGGGAAUCUUCCGCAAUGGGCGAAAGCCUGACGGAGCAACGCCGCGUGAGUGAUGAAGGUCUUCGGAUCGUAAAACUCUGUUAUUAGGGAAGAACAUAUGUGUAAGUAACUGUGCACAUCUUGACGGUACCUAAUCAGAAAGCCACGGCUAACUACGUG
Molecule: ribosomal RNA, 497 nt
Filed under: uncultured bacterium
Lineage: Bacteria
Description: partial 16S ribosomal RNA
Rfam family: Bacterial small subunit ribosomal RNA
Source: RNAcentral